This 460-nucleotide ribosomal RNA is filed under the name uncultured bacterium. RNAcentral's name for it is "partial 16S ribosomal RNA". It matches the Rfam family "Bacterial small subunit ribosomal RNA", at positions 338 to 795 of the family's 1533-position model. The record is from RNAcentral.
CCUACGGGUGGCAGCAGUGAGGAAUAUUGGUCAAUGGACGAGAGUCUGAACCAGCCAAGUAGCGUGAAGGAUGACUGCCCUAUGGGUUGUAAACUUCUUUUAUAUGGGAAUAAAACGUUCCACGUGUGGGAUUUUGUAUGUACCAUAUGAAUAAGGAUCGGCUAACUCCGUGCCAGCAGCCGCGGUAAUACGGAGGAUCCGAGCGUUAUCCGGAUUUAUUGGGUUUAAAGGGAGCGUAGGUGGAGUGUUAAGUCAGUUGUGAAAGUGUGCGGCUCAACCGUAAAAUUGCAGUUGAAACUGGCAGUCUUGAGUACAGUAGAGGUGGGCGGAAGUCGUGGUGUAGCGGUGAAAUGCUUAGAUAUCACGAAGAACUCCGAUUGCGAAGGCAGUUCACUGGACUGCAACUGACACUGAGGCUCGAAAGUGUGGGUAUCAAACAGGAUUAGAUACCCGGGUAGUC